Molecule: ribosomal RNA, 379 nt
Filed under: uncultured bacterium
Lineage: Bacteria
Description: bacterial SSU rRNA
Rfam family: Bacterial small subunit ribosomal RNA
Source: RNAcentral
GACGAACGCUGGCGGCGUGCUUAACACAUGCAAGUCGAGCGGUAAGGCCCUUUCGGGGGUACGACGAGCGGCGAACGGGUGAGUAACACGUGGGUGACCUGCCCUUAGCUCUGGGAUAAGCCUGGGAAACUGGGUCUAAUACCGGAUAUGACUCCAUAACGCAUGUUGUGGGGUGGAAAGCCUUGUGCGGCUAGGGAUGGGCCCGCGGCCUAUCAGCUUGUUGGUGGGGUGAUGGCCUACCAAGGCGACGACGGGUAGCCGGCCUGAGAGGGCGACCGGCCACACUGGGACUGAGACACGGCCCAGACUCCUACGGGAGGCAGCAGUGGGGAAUCUUGCGCAAUGGGCGAAAGCCUGACGCAGCGACGCCGCGUGGGGA